The sequence is a ribosomal RNA, 2866 nucleotides long. It matches the Rfam family "Bacterial large subunit ribosomal RNA".
AGGGCUAACGGUGGAUACCUAGGCACACGGAAGCGAAGAAGGACGUAGUUACCGACGAAACGCUUCGGGGAGCGGGAAGCAAGCAUUGAUCCGAAGAUAUCCGAAUGGGGCAACCCUAAACACGACCACCUGAAUACAUAGGGUGGAGCGAGCAAACCUGGUGAACUGAAACAUCUUAGUAGCCAGAGGAAAAGAAAGCAACAGCGAUUCCCCCAGUAGCGGCGAGCGAAAAGGGAACAGCCUAAACCAAGUUCUUCGGAACUUGGGGUCGUGGGACAGUAACAAAAGACUGGGAAAUUUAGACGAAGCGGCUGAAAACCGCACCAGAGAAGGUGAAAGUCCUGUAGUCGAAAAAGGAACCAGCUUAACUGCAUCCCGAGUAGCAUGGGGCACGUGAAAUCCCGUGUGAAUCUGCCUCGACCACGAGGUAAGGCUAAAUAUUCCCGUGUGACCGAUAGAGAAACAGUACCGCGAGGGAAAGGUGAAAAGAACCCCGGAAGGGGAGUGAAAUAGAACAUGAAACCGUUAGCCUACAAGCAAUGGGAGGACGAUUGAACGUCUGACCGUGUGCCUGUUGAAGAAUGAGCCGGCGACUUACAGGUUAUGGCAGGUGAAGGGGGAAGACCCCACAGCCCCAGCGAAAGCGAGUCUGAAUAGGGCGAAAAGUCAUAAUUUGUAGACCCGAACCCGGGUGAUCUAACCAUGGCCAGGAUGAAGCUUGGGUAAAACCAAGUGGAGGUCCGAACCGACUAAUGUUGAAAAAUUAGCGGAUGAGCUGUGGUUAGGGGUGAAAUGCCAAUCGAACUCGGAGCUAGCUGGUUCUCCCCGAAAUGUGUUGAGGCGCAGCGGUAGUGGAAGUUUAGUCGGGGUAAAGCACUGUUUCGCCGCGGGCUGGGAGACCGGUACCAAGGCGAGGCAAACUCUGAAUACGGCUAAAAAAACUACCAGUGAGACGGUGGGGGAUAAGCUUCAUCGUCAAGAGGGAAACAGCCCAGACCACCAGCUAAGGUCCCCAAAUGAUAACUAAGUGAGAAAGGAGGUGGGAGUGCAUUGACAACCAGGAGGUUUGCCUAGAAGCAGCAAUCCUUAAAAGAGUGCGUAAUAGCUCACUGGUCAAGCGCUCCUGCGCCGAAAAUGAACGGGGCUAAGUUAUCUACCGAAGCUGUGGACUACAUUGUAGUGGUAGGGGAGCGUUCUAUAGGGGGUGAAGCAGUAGCGGCAAGCAGCUGUGGACUCUAUAGAAGUGAGAAUGUCGGCUUAAGUAGCGAAAAUGUGGGUGAGAAUCCCACACCCCGAAACCCCAAGGUUUCCUCCGCAAGGCUCGUCCGCGGAGGGUCAGUCAGGACCUAAGGCGAGGCUGAAAAGCGUAGUCGAUGGACAACGGGUUAACAUUCCCGUACCGAUUAAUGAUUGUGCCGGAGAACGGAGAAGGUCAACGUCAGCUGGAUGUUGGUUACCAGUGCAAGCAGUCGAGGCGAUGAGAGGUGGAGAAAACACCAGGAGCUAAGACGCGAGUCCCACCUCCCACGGGAGGGAAGUGGCGCUGAUCAAGCUUCCUAGAAAAGCCCGAACCACGUUAAUCAUUAAUUGCCUGUACCCGAAACCGACACAGGUGGGGAAGUAGAGAAUACUAAGGGGCGCGAGAUAACUCUCUCUAAGGAACUCGGCAAAAUGACCCCGUAACUUCGGGAGAAGGGGUACCCUCGCAAGAGGGUCGCAGUGAAUAGGCCCAGGCGACUGUUUACCAAAAACACAGGUCUCCGCCAAGUCGUAAGACGCAGUAUGGAGGCUGACGCCUGCCCAGUGCCGGAAGGUUAAGGAAGUUGGUCAGGAGUAAUCUAAAGCUGACGACCGAAGCCCCGGUGAACGGCGGCCGUAACUAUAACGGUCCUAAGGUAGCGAAAUUCCUUGUCGGGUAAGUUCCGACCCGCACGAAAGGCGUAACGAUCUGGGCACUGUCUCGGAGAGAGACUCGGCGAAAUAGGAUUGUCUGUGAAGAUACGGACUACCUGCACCUGGACAGAAAGACCCUAUGAAGCUUUACUGUAGCCUGGAAUUGGCUUCGGGCUUCGCUUGCGCAGGAUAGGUGGGAAGCUUUGAAACUCUCCUCGUGGGGAGAGUGGAGCUAACGGUGAGAUACCACUCUGGCGAGGCUAGAAUUCUAACCCUGACCCCUAAUCGGGGCGGGAGACAGUUUCAGGUGGGCAGUUUGACUGGGGCGGUCGCCUCCUAAAAGGUAACGGAGGCGCGCAAAGGUUCCCUCAGUCCCGUUGGAAAUGGGACGAUAGAGUGCAAAAGCAGAAGGGAGCUUGACUGUGAGACCCACAAGUCGAACAGGGACGAAAGUCGGCUUUAGUGAUCCGACGGCACCGCGUGGAAGGGCCGUCGCUCAACGGAUAAAAGUUACUCUAGGGAUAACAGGCUGAUCUCCCCCAAGAGUUCACAUCGACGGGGAGGUUUGGCACCUCGAUGUCGGCUCAUCGCAACCUGGGGCUGAAGUCGGUCCCAAGGGUUGGGCUGUUCGCCCAUUAAAGCGGUACGUGAGCUGGGUUCAGAACGUCGUGAGACAGUUCGGUCCAUAUCCGGUGUAGGCGUAAGAGCAUUGCGAGGAGCCUUCCUUAGUACGAGAGGACCGGGAAGGACGCACCGCUGGUGUACCUGUUAUCGUGCCAACGGUAAACGCAGGGUAGCCAUGUGCGGAGCGGAUAACCGCUGAAAGCAUCUAAGUGGGAAGCCCACCUCCAGAUGAUUGCUCUCAUGGCAUUAAGCCAGUAAGGUCUCGGGUAGACUACCCGUUGAUAGGCUCUAGAUGGAAGCUCGGUAACGAGUGCAGUCGAGGAGUACUAACCGACCGAGGGCUUGACCU